Long non-coding RNA from Alnus glutinosa, 476 nucleotides. RefSeq lists it as uncharacterized. The record is from RefSeq and is a predicted model, not a curated record. NCBI's taxonomy places the organism in Eukaryota, Viridiplantae, Streptophyta, Magnoliopsida, Fagales, Betulaceae. The transcript has 2 exons.
UUUUUUUUUUUUUUUUUUUUUUUUUUUCUGAGAGGCUGAGAGAGGGAGAUUGAGAGAUGGGGAGAGGAAGAGGGAGAUCAGAGAGGGAGAGGGAGAAGUUUAUGGUGGGUCAGCCACCGCUGGGCAGGACGCCGACACCUGCAGGUCACGACCGACGCGGGCGACGCUAGAGAGGGGUUUUUUCGGCAUUUUCCCGGAGCCCAAACAAUGAGGAUCCGAUUUUGGCUGCUUCUGCAAGUUCUGAUAUGUAUGGAUAUGCAGUUUUGGAUGCAUGUGAGCAGAUAAAGGCACGUAUGGAGCCCAUUUCUUCACAAAAUAAUUUCAGCUCGUUUGCUGAGGUACCUUCAUUUUCAUAAUUUUGCAUAAAAAUUACUGCACCGUUAUCCUUGGAUGAAUGGUUAAGUUCCUUUUAUAGUGUACGAUCUGUUUCUUUUUAUCCUUUUCUUCCAAGAGCAAUAAAUAAAUGGUUAAGGAAA